UACGUAGGGUGCGAGCGUUGUCCGGAAUUAUUGGGCGUAAAGAGCGUGUAGGCGGUUUGGUAGGUCCGCUGUGAAAACUCGAGGCUCAACCUCGAGACGCCGGUGGAAACCAUCAGACUAGAGUCCGGAAGAGGAGAGUGGAAUUCCUGGUGUAGCGGUGAAAUGCGCAGAUAUCAGGAAGAACACCCGUGGCUAAGGCGGCUCUCUAGUACGGUACUGACGCUGAGACGCGAAAGCCGUGGGGAGCAAACAGG
This 254-nucleotide ribosomal RNA is filed under the name uncultured bacterium. RNAcentral's name for it is "partial 16S ribosomal RNA". It matches the Rfam family "Bacterial small subunit ribosomal RNA", at positions 524 to 776 of the family's 1533-position model. The record is from RNAcentral.